Molecule: long non-coding RNA, 3101 nt
Organism: Caretta caretta (loggerhead turtle)
Lineage: Eukaryota; Metazoa; Chordata; Testudines; Cheloniidae
Source: RefSeq, a predicted model, not a curated record
AGUUGCAGGCGGCUCCUGCCGGGGCUGGCUGGGCAGGACGCGGGGUGCCCGAGGCCAGGGGGCGCCUAGCGGGGCAGGGUCCCGGGGCAGCGCCGCGGACGGGACGAGCCCCGGGGGGAGGCAGAGACAGGAGUUGCCAGCGCCUCCGAAGUUGAGGUCAGUGUGCUGGGGUGGGAGGUUGUUGCUGGCUUCUUGGAAGCAUGCAUCCGUCUGCAUUGGGUUAAUCCUCCAGAAGCUGGUGAGCCACUGACUAACGCACAUUGUGCUGUUAAAGACUCCACUGUGCGUGUGACAGCGGCUAACCUGCUUUUCGGACAUCACUGUAUACACGCCAUCAUCCUGCCCCAUGAAGAGGCAUUACUUGAUCCUGGGGACUGCACCUAGCUUCCAUCAACUUGGUAGGAGAGAGCUGUUCACAUCCCGGCAGCAGCCCCUGACAAAUUCACUGACCUGAACUAUUGUGAAAUCUUCAGAAAAGUUUGCUUGCAAUUUGUUUCUUUCCUUUAAAACUCAAGCUGAGAGGGAGCACAGUACCUUUUCUUAAAAUAAGUUCAUUGAUUGUACUAUGUUUAAUGAGUUCCCCUUGAUACAUGUGCCUUUCAGACACUGUGUGUUUUUGUUUUUUUUUUAAAUUAGCAACCUCUCAGUGGCAGAGCAUUGAAAGACUUAAUGCUUCUGGGCCAUUCUGCUACAAGGACCCAGUGAAGUGUAUACAUUAUGACGUGAACUAGGACUUCUGUGACAGGAAACGGCUAUAAAGUCUUCCUGGGAAGACCGCAAAUGCGAUAGCACAUCUUCGAAAAUGAGACCCUGCUUCCCUCCACCUCACCCAUUCCUUCCAAAAAGCUAGUGACUUGGGGUUUUGUUUAAAUCAUGUUAGUUGGAGAAACUCUUCAGCCAGCCAGUGACAUCUUGGUACCCAGUCAAUGACUAAUUGAACUCCUGCUGCCAAGGGUGUGUUAACAGAAUAAACUAUGCUUGGUAUUGCCCUGGUGAGUCAUUUUAAAGACUCUCUUAAAUCUGUUUAGAAGUAAAGCAUAAACCAGUUUCACCUUCCAGUUUUUCUUAGCACCUUUGCAGUUUCUUGUAGCUGGCUGUGUCUUAAAUGAAGGCUCUGCUCCUUUCCAAGCCAGUUUUCUCUCCUGAUUUGAUCCUGCAGUGAAGUCUUACUGAUAAAACUCAAGUGACUCCAUUCAUUUCUCUAGCAACAGAAUGUGAUGUCACAAAUGCAGAAUCAGCACUUCAUUGCUUACGUCAUGCGGAAAGCAAAGGCGAUGAGAGGGAAGUUUCAGAUAUUUGUGGUUGCAUUAAACAGCAACAGUAAAGAGGACAGAGGAAGUGACCAAGCAAAUUGUGUUUGGUAAAGUUCUUUCAGUUUUGCUCCAUUAUGGAAACUCACUAGCUACAGAGUUUGCUCUUAGGGUGAGGUGUGGGGCUGUUUUACUUCUAGAUGACUUCAUGACUCCAAGCCAGGUUAGUAGCGACCAGAUACUGCUUACUGAUAGCUGUUUAGUGGCCUCUGUGAAAUGAUUUGGUGCUCUCCAUUUCAUUCCAGCCAUCCCUUGGGGGAAACCUAGCAUUUCAUCCCAUGGGGAAAAAAAAGAGAGGUUCUUUUAGUGGCCGAAAAGGCUCAGGUUUGUUUGUACGUAAUUAGUAACACAAGAAAGUUUGAAGUCAGGUCUUUCUCAUACAGCUACAAAUCCGAUAAAGCAAGAAACUGCUUUAAAAGAGAAAGUGUAAGUCUGUACCUUCCUGAGCAGCAUAUUCUUGCUAAGCAUUUUUUCCCUCACCUCCUGAAGUGGGCAUGUUUGCUCUCCUGAGAGGAAGUCAACUCUUCUGUCCUCUGAUCACGGUAACUAAGUCCAGCUGGCUGGGUCAGAAACACAGCUGUGUCCUCUUAGCCCAAAUAACCUGGAAGGGAGGAGAGCAGCUUUGGCAGCUGCUGGUGGCUGCAUCUACACAAUAGCUGCCUGGCUCUCUUGUGAUGUUAAAAAUAGGAUCAGGGUGUUUGUGGUUCCCCUACCCCCAAAUACCCUGUCAAGAAUCUGCAAAUGCUCAUAACCUCCCUCCCAAAGUUGGCUUGCUCAGUAGAGAGGCUGAGAACUGACUGGGUCGCAGAGAAUUAACAACCUUCUCCUAGGGCAGUUAAGAGGCUGGUCAGUGGAAGGGUAGAGCAGGGGACUCUUGUAUUGUAGAUAUCUGUGAUGCAACAAGUCUGCAGACAAACAGAGGAUGUGAGUUUCUGAGGCCUUCUACUCUGAUUGCUAUUUAUAUUACCACCAGUCAGUGGCUUAGCUACACAAGUGAUUCUACUCACAGAGCUGCACUGGUGGGACACAGCAGUAGGGAAACUUGAAAACCACUAGUGUAGACCAGGCCUGGUGCUUUUGCACCUUUCUCAGUUCAAACUAGGACAAAACUUGGCUAUGGUAUGGAAGCCUCCAGGGCUGGCUGCAGGCACCAGGUGCUUGGGGAGGCAAUCUGCGGCCGUCCAUGUGCCAUUAGAGCAUUUCCACGGCAGUGGCAGGAAUUCGGCACGCUGCUCAGGAGAGCAAAAAACAGUAGAGCCAGCCCUGGAAGCCUCCACUUAAUAAGUCUGCACUGAAACUUACAGCUAUACAAUGGGACAGUUCCUUAUUUCAUGUGUGUACAUAGUCUAUAACAUGCAUUGUGCUGAAAAGGAGUCCCUUGGACUGGCCAUGGGGAGGCUUUAUAAUGUCAAAAUGUGGACUCCCUAGGCUGAUACUUGCUGGGUGUGAGAUCAUCUUUGCAGACAUGUUGAUUUCAAAUUCCUCUUAGGUGGUAGUUGCAUUUCUACCUAUGAUAUCGAAGUGUGACAAUACCAUACCUGAGAACCAUAUUUCCCCCCAAAUUUACAAUAUUCUUGUACUGGUAUCACAUCCUGUGCAGCUCCAAUAAGAUAAGUGGGGAGUGUGAAGCAAUAAACUCCCCUGCCCCCCCCCCCUGUCUAUUCCCCAUGGAGAAUGGCGUGUUGCUGUUUUUUUUUUUUUUUUUUUAAAAUGCUUCUAUGGUAAGAGUCUAGUGCUGUGAUCAGACUAACCUGUUGUCACCUACAGUUCUCAAUAAAUACUACAAUAUCA